This 1800-nucleotide ribosomal RNA is filed under the name Xenophilus sp. AP218F. RNAcentral's name for it is "bacterial LSU rRNA". It matches the Rfam family "Bacterial large subunit ribosomal RNA", at positions 1 to 1823 of the family's 2925-position model. Lineage: Bacteria; Pseudomonadati; Pseudomonadota; Betaproteobacteria; Burkholderiales; Comamonadaceae. The record is from RNAcentral.
AUAGGGUCAAGCGACUAAGUGCAUCUGGUGGAUGCCUUGGCGAUCAUAGGCGAUGAAGGACGUGUAAGCCUGCGAAAAGCGCGGGGGAGCUGGCAAUAGAGCUUUGAUCCCGCGAUGUCCGAAUGGGGAAACCCGGCCCUUAGGGGUCAUCCCAGACUGAAUCCAUAGGUCUGUGGAGGCGAACUCAGCGAACUGAAACAUCUAAGUAGCUGAAGGAAAAGAAAUCAACCGAGAUUCCGUAAGUAGUGGCGAGCGAACGCGGAACAGCCUGACUGUGUUAUGAGUUGUGCUAGUGGAAUGGAAUGGAAAGUCCAACCGUAGUGGGUGAUAGUCCCGUACACGAAAGCGCAUCGCAAGAACUAGGCAGUCGAGAAGUAGGGCGGGACACGAGAAAUCCUGUCUGAAGAUGGGGGGACCAUCCUCCAAGGCUAAAUACUCAUGAUCGACCGAUAGUGAACCAGUACCGUGAGGGAAAGGCGAAAAGAACCCCGGGAGGGGAGUGAAAUAGAACCUGAAACCGGAUGCAUACAAACAGUGGGAGCCCUUGAAAAAUGGGGUGACUGCGUACCUUUUGUAUAAUGGGUCAGCGACUUACGUUCAGUAGCGAGCUUAACCGAAUAGGGGAGGCGUAGGGAAACCGAGUCCGAAUAGGGCGCUUUAGUUGCUGGGCGUAGACCCGAAACCGAGUGAUCUAUCCAUGGCCAGGAUGAAGGUGCGGUAACACGCACUGGAGGUCCGAACCCACUAGUGUUGCAAAACUAGGGGAUGAGCUGUGGAUAGGGGUGAAAGGCUAAACAAACUCGGAGAUAGCUGGUUCUCCCCGAAAACUAUUUAGGUAGUGCGUCAUGUAUCACUUCCGGGGGUAAAGCACUGUUAUGGCUAGGGGGUCAUUGCGAUUUACCAAACCAUGGCAAACUCUGAAUACCGGAAAGUGCGAGCAUGGCAGACAGACAGUGGGUGCUAACGUCCAUUGUCAAGAGGGAAACAACCCAGACCGCCAGCUAAGGUCCCAAAUGAUCAGUUAAGUGGUAAACGAAGUGGGAAGGCCUAGACAGCCAGGAUGUUGGCUUAGAAGCAGCCAUCAUUUAAAGAAAGCGUAAUAGCUCACUGGUCGAGUCGUCCUGCGCGGAAGAUGUAACGGGGCUCAAACUGAUAACCGAAGCUGCGGAUUUGCGCGUAAGCGCAGAUGGUAGGGGAGCGUUCUGUAGGUCUGUGAAGGUGUCUCGUAAGGGAUGCUGGAGAUAUCAGAAGUGCGAAUGCUGACAUGAGUAGCGAUAAAGCGGGUGAAAAGCCCGCUCGCCGAAAGCCCAAGGUUUCCUACGCAACGUUCAUCGGCGUAGGGUGAGUCGGCCCCUAAGGCGAGGCUGAAAAGCGUAGUCGAUGGGAAACGGGUUAAAAUUCCCGUACUUUUGUGCAGUGCGAUGUGGGGACGGAGAAGGUUAGGUCAGCAGACUGUUGGAAUAGUCUGUUCAAGCCGGUAGGCGUGAAGGGUAGGCAAAUCCGCUCUUCUUUAACGCCGAGACGUGAUAACGAGGGUCUACGGACCUGAAGUGACUGAUACCACGCUUCCAGGAAAAGCCACUAAGCUUCAGCUGCACAAGAACCGUACCGCAAACCGACACAGGUGGGCAGGAUGAGAAUUCUAAGGCGCUUGAGAGAACUCAGGAGAAGGAACUCGGCAAAUUGAUACCGUAACUUCGGGAGAAGGUAUGCCUGUUGGGGUGUAGUGAUUUACUCACGAAGCUCUGACAGGUCGCAGAGAAUCGGUGGCUGCGACUGUUUAACAAAAACACAGCACUG